This is an RNA transcript of Vespa velutina, 4484 nucleotides long. RefSeq lists it as uncharacterized. The record is from RefSeq and is a predicted model, not a curated record. The transcript is spliced from 12 exons. Lineage: Eukaryota; Metazoa; Arthropoda; Insecta; Hymenoptera; Vespidae.
CCUGUUUCAAGAUAUCCAAAAUGUUCUCGGGUAAAGCAUCUCUUUCGUUUUGAUUCAAUGCGUCUGAAAAAAUGCAUAAAGAGAUCGUAAGAAGUCGCAACAUUUAAAAAGGACAAAAAAGAAGAACUACGUACCAGGAUCAUUAUUUUCUGAAAAAUCAAUCGAUCCAUGCGCUUGAAUUGGAUCAAAUAUUACGUUUAAAACGACACGAUCACGUUCGCUCAGUCGCUCCAUUUCUACUGAAUACCUAAGAUAUUCUAUUUUUCUUUGGUAUUGGUAGAAAACUCGUUUCUGCUUAUCACGAAUGAAUUAACUUGUUUCCAAAGCGACACCAUACCGAAUGCGUCAUUAUUUAAAUUAUACCGGUUAUUUUACAUAAAGGUGUGAUAUGUAUAAUGUAAUAUUAAAAACGUAUUAGUUUUAGGAGCUCUAAUGCUUUGAAAUUUGUUUGUCAUUAUUCGUUGUAAUAAAUUUACCGGUUUCAUAUGGAAAAUUUUAAAAGGAAGUAGAUAAUUAGGAUUUUAAAAAGAAAAAGAAAUAGAAGCUCGAUGCAUACGACACGAUAAAGAUCUUUUUUCUCGGAUAUGCAAAUUUAUCGGUUGUACUGUUAAACAGCUAUUUUGUUCAUUUAACGUUCUCACGUUUCCCACGAAGCGAAGAUAUAAGCGCGCUAAGAAAACUUUCGCAUCACGGAAGCCGGCGCAUGUUGCAUUUAUCAACUACGAAGCUCUUGGAUUCUCGUUUCUCAUUUAGUAGAUAGACUUGUCAUUCUGUUUGCUUUCAACUUCCAAAUCAUCAAUUAUGUUUGAAAGGUGAAAUACAUUAGAUCGUUAUUAGAAUUUCUGUUGAAAUAAGUUCUUGUAUUUAACUAAGAAUAAAUUUGAAGGAAUAGGACCGCAAGUAAAAGAUUCUUUUCGUUAUUCGUAAGAGCGAAGAUGUAGAUGGUCCUUAGGUUGCAUAGUACACAUGGUACUAUGCGGGGAGGGCUCCGUCACGAAGGUGAAGUUAACUGCCCAUAACUCAUAGCCGACAUAUAAUAAAUAUCGUUACUCCAUAGUGAGCACACGUGGACUUUCGCGAAGUGGUUUAUAAGCGUAUACGAAACGUACGUGAAGCAUGGAGGGACCUCACGUAUAUUCUGUGUAUAACGUCGACCGAACAUAAACGUUCGGCGUAUGUGUCUACGCCUUUUCGCCUUGCUUGCUCGAUGGAGAAGAUUCUUCUUAGAUUUUUCGCGCUUAAGCUUUUGCCCUUUAACGGCCAAGCUCGUCAACGAAGGGUGAUAUCUCAUGGACGAGUUAUGUUACAUUUUUCUUGGAAUUUUUAAAUAAUCAGGAUAAAACCAGGAAUGUGUCCUGUCGACCAACAAAACGAAAAAAAAAAAGAAAAAAAAAUAAGAAUCGUGCAAGAGGACGAACCCUUGAAAUAAGGAUAAGAAAAAAUAUCCUGCGUGACCGACCGCUGCAGUUUGUGGUUACAAUAAACAAGGAAGAAAAAAGAAGGGUCGACUUAUCAACGUAUCGCGGUCGAUGAAGCAAAAAGACAAAAGGAGCAAAGGGAGUCUGAGAGUUUCAAGAAUAAAAAUAAUAUAUGCAAGAUUCGUAGUAUCCGAUCCUGAUCCGCGGCACGACCAUCACCACAACAGCACUACUACCACCACCACCACCACCAUCACCUCCACCAUCGCCAUGCCAUCGUCAUCACCAUCUCCCUGAUUCCUCUGUAACGGAUAGGCUUCACCUCCGCAGGACGGAACUCUAGUCCGCUUCCAGUUUCGCCCUCGAGAGUUCUUCGCGGUUUAGUAGGAACGUGCCUCUCGCAACGUGCACCUCGAGCUCCUCCAUGCUCCACAAUUCUUUAUCAAAUACGACGAGUAUUCUCUGGGCAAAUUAAAACUAUCAAUUAAAAUUUCUUUGAAUUCGAUCGUUAACAAAGGCCGAAUUUUUUUAUUCGCGUUGUUUUUCAAUAUUUGUCGGAAAAAAAAGCGCGGGAAAAUUCGAAGAAGGAUAGUUUCAAAGUUGAAAAGUGACUCGCAGAAAGAGGAUGCACGUGGAAGUUUCUUCACGUUUUUUACGAAGGAUGAGGAGAAGGGUCUGAGAGAGAAAGAGAGAAAGAGAGAGAUAGACAGACAGACAGAGACACAAAAAGAAAGAGAGAGAGAGAGAGAGAGAGAGAGAAAGAGGUCGGAAAAGAAAAACAUCCUGAGGAAAGAACAAGCGAUCCCUUAUACGUAAGGAUGCGAGUGCGUAGGAGAAGAUACACGAAGCGGUGACGACACACGGAUUUGUCUCGACAUGAGGCUAAGUCCAAUUUUUUUAUCAUGCGCCACGGCGAGCUGGCUCGGUCCUGCCGAGGCUAUUCGAAGCCCUUCAUAUUCGAAGGACUACGAAUUAUCAACGGAGUUCUUCCUGGUGCCGUCGGAGGAUACGGCCGAUAGAAAUGGUUUAGCUAGCGUGGCUAGCGUUAUCAGCGUGCCAGCACCCAAUAGAACCGUAUCCGUCUUCAGAAUGCCAACGAGGAAGGGCCAAGAACGCGAAACCGAAUCUACCAGGCCACCGAGCUCGCGUUUCCUUCUCAGACAACGACCUUGGGCUCUUCCCCUUGCAGCCCUAAGUGCCGCAGCGAUGCUUCUUAUGGCUGGUUUCGAGGUUUUCGUACUUCUCAAGGCAAGAGCAGCAGCUCCAAACAGACGUCACUUGUUCCUAGGCCAAGCCCUUUUACUUGGUCUUUUUCUUUUGGCUGGACUCUCAGCUGCAGCUUCUCUCAGCCAAAAUCCUCUCUCUUGUGCAGCCUUCAGACUAGUCGGUUUACCAGCGGCCCUCGUAUUUGCGGCCCUUCUCGUCAAAUGCGUCUUCCUUCUUUCAUUGAACAGCGGUGUCUAUUUACCAGCACCUUAUCAAGCUUUGGUACUGGUAUUUGCUGUACUGGUACAAGUAGCUAUCGUCGGCCAAUGGUUUUACGGAGAACCACCCGCGGUUAUACAAGUUCAAAAUGUGGAUCAGAAUGGUCCUCUAUUGGGUUGCAAAACUCCCCUCGGACAGACAGUGGCUUCCCUAGGAUAUCCAGGGAUAUUGUUAAUAGCGGUUGCCUGUUUAGCCGUUCGAGCACGUGGCGUACGUGAUAAUAACAGGGAAGCUGCUUUUAUCGGACUCGCCGUAGGUCUGUCAUUGCCGAUUUGGAUAUCAAGCGCAAUUGGCUCUACAGUAGCCUCCUCCGAGAGCGAUAAGGAGGCGUGGCUGGCCUAUGGCCUCCUUACUACAUCGUUCCUCGUUUUUUUGACGAUGUUCCUGCCGAAGGGUCGACAAUUGGCUGCACUUGGUCGUGAAGGACCUACAACCGUCAUUCGAGAUCGCGAUGACGCACUCAGCUCUCUACCUGGCAGCGGCUACUCUCCUUCCUUUUUCCAUUUUAAACCUGCUGAGACGUCCUUGAAGAGGAAGAUGCACUAUCACAGCGCUGAUCGUGUCGCGCUGGUCUCAUCGGGAAUACCUGGUUGCAGCGCUUGCAGACACGGGGGAAGUCCAAUAUAUUCCGAUGGGAUCAAACGAAAGGGAAGAAAAAUCUUGUGCGAUGGCUAGGGAUGCAAGAGAAAGAGAAGUAAACAGCAGAGAGAGAGAAAGAGAGAGAGAGAGAGAGAGAGAGAGAGAAAGUUCCAAGACGAGGGUCAAGCACUUCUUCAGCGUUUAAAGGAAGAAGAGGGGAAAAAGGAUACCGUUAGAUCGGACGAACGACAUCGUCGAAUGGCCUGCAAGUUGCGCUUUCGCUCUUAAAAAAAAACGAAAAGGAAUAAUCAUUUGUAUAUAUGUAUUAACGUAUUUUCCAAUUUUAAUUUCGCUCGAUAAUUCGGACUCGAGUCCGAAUGAAUUUGUUAACAAAUGAAAAUAUUAACAAUGUAGUUAUUAUACUACUUGGAUAUGUAGAUUCUUUUAAAAUUCAUUUCGAUGAUAAUUAUCCUCUUGUUUGUUUGUCUCGAUUAGUCAAUAAUUACGUCAACGUUCUAAGUAUUUUAUUCAGGUCGAAAGCGUAAAACGCAAACGAGAAGCUUCAUAAUGCGAUACGUCUCUCUUUACCGUAAUGUUCAUUAUUACGAGCAAGGCGUGGAAUAUACUGGAAAUUACGAGCUAAAGGUCACUAGCCCCUUGGCCAUUCACUUAAACACAUCAAACCCCUCUCGCACCUACUUCAGAGUUUUUAUAUGACUUUUUGUUCUUCUUUUUUUUUUUCCUUCUUUUUUGCUUGGCGAGGUGAAGGAACGGGGCGGAGCGGGGCGCGGAGAAGCGGCAAAGGGGUGGAGGGAGAAAACGAAAUAAUGAAUCUUUUGAUGAGACAGAGCUGCGAUUAAAAACCCGCAUAGGUUCAUGGACCGAUGGAGACGUUUGUUCUACCGACCGGUAUGUAUUUAAGGCCGGAGGAUGCUGGAAAUCUCUACACGACUCUAUCAGCGAAUCCCAACGUAUUUUUCCAGAGAGCUACGCACCCGGGGA